GAAAACCAUGGAUGUAACCCGUUUGACAACAAGCCCCAGCGCUCACAGUGCAGCUCCACACCGGAGACAGGGCAAGGUAGGGGAAGGACAGCUGUCAAGACUGAUCAGAAGCAGUGUGCGGUGAGACACAGCAGGCCCCGAAACGUGGGCGCCAGGGUCACAAUGCUCCUCUGUACCCCCUGACGUAUGGCAUCCUGGCACUGAUGUGGCCCUGGAAAAUUCUCAGGAUGAAUCCCUGUGCCAAUAGCCUUCAAAUCUUCUCCUCCUGGUAUGGCAUCCUCCGGGUCUCACGCUUAAUAAUCCGGGACUCAGCUUACAACACACUGAAAGAGAGA
This is a non-coding RNA of Plectropomus leopardus (leopard coralgrouper), 335 nucleotides long. The record is from RefSeq and is a predicted model, not a curated record. NCBI's taxonomy places the organism in Eukaryota, Metazoa, Chordata, Actinopteri, Perciformes, Serranidae.